This 309-nucleotide ribosomal RNA is filed under the name Echinaster purpureus. Its description in RNAcentral is "eukaryotic LSU rRNA". It matches the Rfam family "Eukaryotic large subunit ribosomal RNA", at positions 72 to 355 of the family's 3401-position model. Lineage: Eukaryota; Metazoa; Echinodermata; Asteroidea; Spinulosida; Echinasteridae. The record is from RNAcentral.
GGAUUCCUUUAGUAGCGGCGAGCGAAGCGGGAAGAGCCCAUCGCCGAAUCCCCGGCGGCGCAAGUCGGUCGAGGGAAAUGUGGCGUGAGGAAGUCGGUCUCCGCGGUCGGUUCGUCGGCGCCGAGGUCCUUCUGAUCGAGGCCUCCGCGCGUCCCAGGGCGGGUGUCAGGCCCCUUCGGGCGCCGUCCGGCCGCGGAAUUCGGAUGGCUUCCGGGAGUCGGGUUGUUCUGUAUUGCAGCCCCAAGGCGGGUGGUAAACUCCAUCCAAGGCUAAAUACCGGCACGAGACCGAUAGCGAACAAGUACCNUG